This 153-nucleotide unclassified non-coding RNA is filed under the name uncultured soil eukaryote. RNAcentral describes it as "sequence contains ITS2". The record is from RNAcentral.
UAAUCUCAAGCAUAGCUUGGUAUUGGAAGAGGAUUUGCUUGUGCAGCUCCCUUCUUAAACUGAUUGGCAAGCCUACUGUAGGAGCAAGCGUAGUAGAAAUACAUGUAGCUAUGUUAUACUGGUAGACUUUGUCAAAAUCAAACUCUUUAGUGG